Molecule: long non-coding RNA, 530 nt
Organism: Juglans microcarpa x Juglans regia
Lineage: Eukaryota; Viridiplantae; Streptophyta; Magnoliopsida; Fagales; Juglandaceae
Exons: 2
Source: RefSeq, a predicted model, not a curated record
UCAUCUUCAUUACACCUUCCUCACACUUGUAUUUAUUUGCCCUUUCUAUUUUCUUGAGGAACCCCGACAGACUCAACAUCCCGCACGGCGCUCGACCCAAACUGUGGCAGAGCUCGACCCAGACGGUGGCGAAGCUCGACCCAGACGGUAUAUUUCUCAUAUUUGUCUUUCUCUUUGCUUUGCUGGAUAUUUGAAAGCCCUAAUUAAUUGUGAACCCAUAACUGAAAUCGCCGAGGGAAUUGCUUCGGCGUCGGAAUUAGAUGGUGGUGGUGGAACCUUGGUCGGUAUCCAACGGUGGUUAUCAAGUCUUGGUUGGUGGGCAGCGGGCUUGGUGGCAUAGCAAGAGGCAGGCUGGAAGUGGACGAAGAAUGUGAGUUGGAAAAUGCAAACCGAUUCUGUGAAGAUAAUAGUUCGUGAUUUUGUGUGGUGAGGUCUAAAGGGUUUAUUGUGUUUUUAUCUACGUGUCAGCGUCUGAUUGGAGGGCUGCUAUUCCAGGCUUUACAGCCGGACCGCUUCGUAGCGUUUCUGAU